ACGAAUCGCAUGGCCUUGUGCCGGCGAUGGUUCAUUCAAAUUUCUGCCUAUCAACUUUCGAUGGUAGGAUAGUGGCCUACCAUGGUUUCAACGGGUAACGGGGAAUUAGGGUUCUAUUCCGGAGAGGGAGCCUGAGAAACGGCUACCACAUCCAAGGAAGGCAGCAGGCGCGCAAAUUACCCAAUCCCGACACGGGGAGGUGGUGACAAUAAAUACUGAUACAGGGCUCUUUUGGGUCUUGUAAUUGGAAUGAGUACAAUUUAAAUCCCUUAACGAGGAACAAUUGGAGGGCAAGUCUGGUGCCAGCAGCCGCGGUAAUUCCAGCUCCAAUAGCGUAUAUUAAAGUUGUUGCAGUUAAAAAGCUCGUAGUUGAACCUUGGGCCUGGCUGGCCGGUCCGCCUCACCGCGUGCACUGGUCACGGCCGGGCCUUUCCUUCUGGGAGCCGCAUGCCCUUCACUGGGUGUGUCGGGGAACCAGGACUUUUACUUUGA
RNAcentral lists this ribosomal RNA (492 nucleotides) under uncultured fungus. Its description in RNAcentral is "SSU rRNA". It matches the Rfam family "Eukaryotic small subunit ribosomal RNA", at positions 260 to 760 of the family's 1831-position model. The record is from RNAcentral. Lineage: Eukaryota; Fungi.